This 445-nucleotide long non-coding RNA is filed under the name Ananas comosus (pineapple). RNAcentral describes it as "long non-coding RNA (ACOM_LNC031345)". Lineage: Eukaryota; Viridiplantae; Streptophyta; Magnoliopsida; Poales; Bromeliaceae. The record is from RNAcentral.
AUUUGGUGUAUGGGUUCCAACUUUGUUCUAAGGGCUUGUUUGGCCUAGCUUCUGGAAAAGUGAUUUCUGCAAAAGUGAUUUUGGUUUGGAGAAUUGAUUUUGGUGAAAAGCUGUAGAGCGUUUGACUGAGUUUAGGUAAAAGUGAUUUUUCUGAAGUGAUUUUCUAAAGUUGUUUGGUAAAAAAUUUUGAUGCUUGCAUAUAUUAAUAUUUUAAACAAAGUUUUAUUUUAAAAUAAUUUAAAAUUUGAAUUUAAAUUAAAAUUUUAAAUUUGAAUUAAAAGUAUAAUUCAACCCCCCUUUGAAUUUAAACUAGUGAAUUACCCGCGCGAUGCUGCGGAUUUAAAAUAUUUUAACUAUAAAUUUUAAUUAAAAUAUUUAUAUUAUUUUAAUUUUUAACUAUUAAUUAUAUAAAUUUAAAAAUAAUUUGAAUAAAAAUAAUGUAAAU